AGAGUUUGAUCCUGGCUCAGAUUGAACGCUGGCGGCAUGCCUUACACAUGCAAGUCGAACGGCAGCACGGAGCUUGCUCUGGUGGCGAGUGGCGAACGGGUGAGUAAUAUAUCGGAACGUACCCUAGAGUGGGGGAUAACGUAGCGAAAGUUACGCUAAUACCGCAUACGAUCUAAGGAUGAAAGUGGGGGAUCGCAAGACCUCAUGCUCGUGGAGCGGCCGAUAUCUGAUUAGCUAGUUAGUAGGGUAAAAGCCUACCAAGGCAUCGAUCAGUAGCUGGUCUGAGAGGACGACCAGCCACACUGGAACUGAGACACGGUCCAGACUCCUACGGGAGGCAGCAGUGGGGAAUUUUGGACAAUGGGCGAAAGCCUGAUCCAGCAAUGCCGCGUGAGUGAAGAAGGCCUUCGGGUUGUAAAGCUCUUUUGUCAGGGAAGAAACGGUGAGAGCUAAUAUCUCUUGCUAAUGACGGUACCUGAAGAAUAAGCACCGGCUAACUACGUGCCAGCAGCCGCGGUAAUACGUAGGGUGCAAGCGUUAAUCGGAAUUACUGGGCGUAAAGCGUGCGCAGGCGGUUUUGUAGGUCUGAUGUGAAAUCCCCGGGCUCAACCUGGGAAUUGCAUUGGAGACUGCAAGGCUAGAAUCUGGCAGAGGGGGUAGAAUUCCACGUGUAGCAGUGAAAUGCGUAGAUAUGUGGAGGAACACCGAUGGCGAAGGCAGCCCCCUGGGUCAAGAUUGACGCUCAUGCACGAAAGCGUGGGGAGCAAACAGGAUUAGAUACCCUGGUAGUCCACGCCCUAAACGAUGUCUACUAGUUGUCGGGUCUUAAUUGACUUGGUAACGCAGCUAACGCGUGAAGUAGACCGCCUGGGGGAGUA
Molecule: ribosomal RNA, 878 nt
Filed under: Janthinobacterium lividum PAMC 25724
Lineage: Bacteria; Pseudomonadati; Pseudomonadota; Betaproteobacteria; Burkholderiales; Oxalobacteraceae
Description: bacterial SSU rRNA
Rfam family: Bacterial small subunit ribosomal RNA
Source: RNAcentral